GGUGUUUCAAAUUAGCUCAUUUAUAAAACCUUCAAGAUAAUGUUUGAUAAAGCUAAAAUUCGCCAUUAAAGGGUAGCUCCUUUUCGAUGUUAACUCAGAAUAUCAGAAAUGAUGGCAUUUGUUAUUUUACUGUUGAAGCUUUUCUCACUACUUAUAAAGUAUUUGACAUAAGUAAAGAUAUAUUUUUAUUUAAUCAGCCAAAAGUAUAAUGUUAUCUUUUUUGCAAAGGCCAUCCCUUUAUGUAUAAGAAUUGUAAUUUCAUUCGUUUAAACGGGCAGUGCAUUAGAGUGAAAUUAAUUUCUCCUGGGUGUUUUCAUCAAUGUUACAUAGGGGCGUUUAGGUUUCCCGCUUCAAAAUUAUUUUCGCGGUAUUUUAUUGCCCAUGUAAUCAUUCAGCACGACACCGUC
RNAcentral lists this long non-coding RNA (407 nucleotides) under Mytilus galloprovincialis (Mediterranean mussel). Lineage: Eukaryota; Metazoa; Mollusca; Bivalvia; Mytilida; Mytilidae. The record is from RNAcentral.